RNAcentral lists this long non-coding RNA (258 nucleotides) under Coffea arabica (coffee). RNAcentral's name for it is "long non-coding RNA (CARA_LNC000506)". The record is from RNAcentral. Lineage: Eukaryota; Viridiplantae; Streptophyta; Magnoliopsida; Gentianales; Rubiaceae.
AUUCAAGGUGUGAUUGGCGCCAAUGCGCAAGUGGAGGCUCCUAGUGAUGGAACCUCUGAUGAGGGGAGCACCCCUAGUUCUAGCCACGGGGGAGAGUCGGUGGCCUCGGUAGGGAAUUAGGCUAGAACGCUUUUGAACCACUUUUGAUUCCAUGAGAACUGUAGAUCAGGGAAAGAACCCUUAGCUAGCCAUUUUUGUACGUUUGGACUAGCUUUGUAUAUAUAACUUUUGAUGACACCGUUCUCUGAUGGACUUCCU